RNAcentral lists this ribosomal RNA (219 nucleotides) under uncultured bacterium. RNAcentral's name for it is "partial 16S ribosomal RNA". It matches the Rfam family "Bacterial small subunit ribosomal RNA", at positions 114 to 334 of the family's 1533-position model. The record is from RNAcentral.
UACAUAGGUAUCUGCCUAGUAGUGGGGGACAACCUGGUGAAAACCAGGCUAAUACCGCAUAAGAUCUACGGAUGAAAGGAGGCCCCUUCUUGAAAGCUUUCGCUAUUAGAUGAGCCUAUGUCAGAUUAGCUAGUUGGUAGGGUAAUGGCCUACCAAGGCGACGAUCUGUAGCUGGUCUGAGAGGAUGAUCAGCCACACUGGGACUGAGACACGGCCCAG